This 236-nucleotide long non-coding RNA is filed under the name Junco hyemalis (dark-eyed junco). RNAcentral's name for it is "lncRNA (ENSJHYG00000016969.1)". The record is from RNAcentral. Lineage: Eukaryota; Metazoa; Chordata; Aves; Passeriformes; Passerellidae.
GACUGUUCUUUCCUGUGAUUGACAACAUGGCCUAAAUCAAUAUUCUUUUAUUUUCAGAUCUCUAUUAUUUUGAAGAAAUCCACAUUUGUCCUGCUGACAAUGUAGGGAGAAGUUAUUCUUCACUGUAGUGGCAUCAGAGGAAACUCUUAGGAGGAUUACGUUAUAUGAAUGAGUUUGAUAGGAGUCACCAUGGUGAGGAAAGGAUAAUGGAAUUUCAGAUCUUGGAAUAAACUGAA